GGAUAACCUACCCUUGGGUCGGGUAUAAACCCGGGAAACUGGGUAUAAUACCCGAUAGAUCUAGAUGGCUGGAAUGCGUCUAGAUUCAAAGUCCCGACGCCCAAGGAUGGGUCUGCGGCCUAUCAGGUUGUAGUGGGUGUAAUGUACCUACUAGCCUUAAACGGGUACGGGUUGUGAGAGCAAGAGCCCGGAGAUGGAUUCUGAGACACGAAUCCAGGCCCUACGGGGUGCAGCAGGCGCGAAACCUUUACAAUGCGGGCAACCGCGAUAAGGGGACCUCGAGUGCCGACAUCUAAUGUCGGCUGUCGUGAUGCCUAAAAAGCAUUAUAUAGCAAGGGCCGGGCAAGACCGGUGCCAGCCGCCGCGGUAACACCGGCGGCUCGAGUGGUGACCGCUAUUAUUGGGUUUAAAGGGUCUGUAGCCGGCCGGAUUAGUCUCUUGGGAAAUCUGGCCGCUUAACGGUCAGGCUUUCAGGAGAUACUGUCUGGCUCGAGGCCGGGAGAGGUGAGAGGUACUUCAGGGGUAGGGGUGAAAUCUUGUAAUCCUUGAAGGACCACCAGUGGCGAAGGCGUCUCACCAAAACGGACCUGACGGCAAGGGACGAAAGCUAGGGGCACGAACCGGAUUAGAUACCCGGGUAGUCCUAGCCGUAAACGAUACUCGCUAGGUGUCGGCCGCGGUGCGACCGUGGUCGGUGCCGUAGGGAAACCGUGAAGCGAGCCACCUGGGAAGUACGGCCGCAAGGCUGAAACUUAA
Molecule: ribosomal RNA, 756 nt
Filed under: uncultured archaeon
Lineage: Archaea
Description: bacterial SSU rRNA
Rfam family: Archaeal small subunit ribosomal RNA
Source: RNAcentral